AUGAAUCAGGAUUAUAGACACAUGGUCUCAUUGUGUGCAGCAGCUCAUGCAGUAAGUGGGGCACAUUUCCAUAGCAUCUGCAUAAUCUGUGUAAUUGGUUUAGUCUUAAAACGGUUUCAAAGUUUCUUCAGCCUGGAACUGAAACCCCUCAGAGCUGGCUGCAACUUCAACUUCCUCCUAAAGCAGCCAUCAAACCCAUCUGUCUGUCCCCUGAAACCACCACAACAUCAUCCACAAGUCUGUAGACAUGCUAGCAGGAGCUUUGUAGAGAAAGUGUUUCGCCCCACCCUCUGUAAGCCCAGAGACAUUUGGAGCAGACGACGUGGUGUGCACGAGGAUUUACACAAGAGAGUGAACAUCUUCCUCUGCUCUCAGCUAACUCACUAACUCAUUUACCAAGUAUUCUGUAAAACCUGCACAUGUAAAAGCUUAGAGUCAGUCCUCUGGUUGUUAGUAGUGAACCUUGUGUCCACGCUAUGCUAGCUAGAUGUCUCCAUGUCCACAACCCUGCUGCCAGUUGUUCAUGUAGGAUUUAAUCAUCAACCAGCUGUUCGAGAAGCAAUAAAAUAAUAGAAUAAACAAUGAGACUCCUUCUUGUUUACGCCAGUUAGUCUGAAGUACAUGUACAUAACAGCAACCUCCCGUCACCUACACCCUCACACACGCACUGGGUGUUUGUCAUUAUUCUGUUCAGAAGAAGCAUGAUUCAUUGUUGUUGUAAAUCCUGCAACUGAUUGUUCACACAGACCAAACUUCAUCGCUACAUCACCAUGUAAAGAAUGAGUGGUUUACAUCUUACUUAUGAACCAUAAAAUGUGAGAUUCCAUAGAAAUAUGAAAUAUCAAUCUGAUGGAUCUUUGAAUAUUUUAACCAGAAGACCAGAACUUUUUAUUGCAGGGAUUAAGCGACACUUCUUAUGAACUCCAAGCAAAGAGAGAGAGAGUCAGGUUUAAAAUAGUCAAGAAAUGUAUUUCUACACAAUUUAAACAAGACUAACUUUAACACUCUGUGUACUGAUGGACUAAGGUGGAGUGAGAUGUGAGAUGAACGACGUAUGUGUGGAAUGUGGUUAUCAGAACCAACGGAUCCGCAGAAUCAUUUAGUUCUGAGUGGGAGUGAAUGUUUCGCUCUAAGAAGGACAGAGGGGCCGAUGGAGAUGAGGCAGGGACCAGCAGAGUCCGGGGGCCUGCGUCCAGGGCAGAGGAGGCGACGACGACGGGCUCUUGGGGACCUGCGUCUAUGGCAGAUGUCCAACUGCUCACUGGACAAAGACUGUGCUGAAAAAGAUGCAACCUUCUACUAAAGUAGUCAUUCAACGUUGGAUGCACAUAUUUGCAUGACAGGAUAAGGUUCAGUACCAUUUUCUUGUUAAUUAAAUGUUUUUUAGGGUGAAUAAAAGAAGCAAAGGGCAGCAAAAUAUGAAAAGUUGGCUGGCAUUUUAAAGCCAGGCGUACACUGUGCAAUCAGCUCUUUUCUUCUCGUGCAAGGAUCUUUGAGAUCAGACUGAGUCCUGUUUACAUUAUUAAUUUGUUUAUAUUUUUUGCACCAAGUACAUCAUCAUCUGCUAAAAAGUAUUAAGCAUUUCGUCCAGUUUAAUUCCCGGAAAAACAUUCAGUUGACAUCGAAGCUCUUUCUGUUUUUAGAAUAUGUCUUUCGUAACUUUCAAUAAAGAAAUUGUGGAAAAAAAGAUGACGCGACUUUAGGUCAUGUGACUUCCGAUUUCAAACAAGCCCUUCCGGUAAAGCAGGGGUGGGCAAUUAUUUUUUCCAUGGGGCCACAUGAGAAAUAGAAAAUAUUGUGGAGGGCCAGGCCAAAAGGCUGAAGUCAAUUAUGCAUAAUAUUAAUGGCAUUUCUUUAUAAAAAGCAGUAAAUACCAUUGUUUCUUCAAGCUGGUAAGAGUAGACUAUAUGUUAUAAAUGAGCAAAAAGGAAAAAGUGAGGUUGUCUUACAAAAAUGUGAUUUAUUCAAAUUUCCCAAGGCAAUGGUAAACAAAGUGUGCACAUUUGGUUUUUGUUAAACAUUUGUGACUUAUAUUAGUUAACAGUUUCAGUCACAUUCACUCCAAAACACAUUCUGAGUUUCAAAUAUUGUUGGAAAGAGGUUCUUAGCAUUCUACAGACACACAGUAUUGUCUGUAAAAUAAAAUCACUGAACUGUGAUCUUGAGAAAGAGGU
RNAcentral lists this long non-coding RNA (2174 nucleotides) under Nothobranchius furzeri (turquoise killifish). RNAcentral's name for it is "lncRNA (ENSNFUG00015007641.1)". The record is from RNAcentral. Lineage: Eukaryota; Metazoa; Chordata; Actinopteri; Cyprinodontiformes; Nothobranchiidae.